Molecule: long non-coding RNA, 7380 nt
Filed under: Lactuca sativa (garden lettuce)
Lineage: Eukaryota; Viridiplantae; Streptophyta; Magnoliopsida; Asterales; Asteraceae
Description: long non-coding RNA (LSAT_LNC005936)
Source: RNAcentral
UAAAACUUUGUUCACAAAUACGCGUUUAAUCAAAAAAAUAAAAAAGGUAAUAUGUCAUAUAACAUUAUCGCUAUUCUCUAACGCGUUACCUACAAUUUUUAUACACAAUCAAAUUCAGAUCCACCGACUCCAAACCCUCUUCAAUACCUUAAACCAAGAAAUCCAUACGUCUACAACCAAAAUCAUCUCUCCAGAUCUUCGGCAUCAAAUUCUCCCUCUAAAUCUCCGGCUACAAUGGCUUCAUCACCGGCGAUUCUUCCCAUCUCAAACCAACAGACCAUUUCCACCGGUGAAUCCCAGGCNCCUCCUUAUAUGUUGCCCUGGGCCUUGGCCCAUCUGGCCCAUGUAUUGGGUCGGCCCUGAUCCUUACUCAACCACCACCACCAACAUCCACUACCAUCAACCAUCUCGACCACCGACCAUCGGUGACAACACCGCCAACAUCUUUCCCUCUAAAAUCAUAUCUGCAUAAAAAAAAUUAGAAUUCACAGUUUAAUUCAACAUUUCAGACACUAAUUCGCAGCUUAAUUUAAUAUUUCAGACACUAAUUCACAACUUAGUGCAUCAAAAAAAUACGCAUUCACAACUUAAUAACUUAUAUAUUCACAAGUUAAUACAUAAAAAACACAUAUUCACAGUUUAAUACAUUACAUUUAUAACUCAUUUACAAAUAUAAAAUUCAGAUAUAGAUAAAAAAAUUAGAAUUCAUAGUUUAAUACAUUUCACACACUAUUUCAAAGUUUAAUUCAAUAUUUUAGACAUUAAUUCAAAGUUUAAUUCAAUGUUUUUUAAUUCAGCAUUUUAGACACUAAUUCACAGACUAAUGCAUAAGAAAAACAAAACUCAUAGUAUAAUAUACAUUUCAGACACUAGUUCACAGCUUAAUACAAAAUUUUAAACACUUAUUUAUAAUAUAAAAACUUACAGAUCUUGUUUAGACAUUUCAUCAAACACCUUGCGUGUACAUUGUUUUCAGAUCUGAGGUGGUAGUGGAACAACAACUGGCCACCAUGAAAUGCUUUGUAAAUGUAAGAUUUAUGUUUGAAAAUACACUAGACGAUCUCGCCAAAUCCGAUAAAUCAGUAUGUAUUUGGCUUUAGAUCUGAGAUGAUGAUGACGAUUAGUGACUCUCCCAACGAUUUGAAGCAAAGAAGCUCGCCGGAAAACAAAAGGCUUAAUGAGAUCGCAUCUAAAUGUCAGAUCUGACCAUACCUAUGCAGAUCUGGAAUGAUUGCAGGUGGUGGCGAUCGUCGUUGGUGGUACCAGAAGGUUGUGGUUAUGGUGCGAUGAAGGCGUAUGUGCUCGUUGACAACGGAUCUGGAUGAUCCUAGUGAAAAUCCAACCAAAUCUAGAUCUAAAAAAAUCAUACGAUCUGGUAGAUUUGGUAAUUCAUGACAUAUCGGAGGUUCAGGUACAUCUGGACUCUUGAAAUCCGACGACCUGGCAGGAGCGGUAAUAGGCCAGACGAUAGUGCUAGCUGGCGGUGGUUUUCUCCAGAGGAAGUCCGCCGUCGGUGAUAGUGAAAAUGGUGGAUAUCACCAGAAAAAAAGAGAUAGAGAGAUAAUCUAAUUCUUAAAAAUCUGAUGAAUGUUUGUUAAGGUUGUGCAUUUUUGGAAGUAUAACUAGUAAUUUUGAAAGAAAUUACAGAAAAAAUCAUAAAGAAAUAACAAAAAAUGAUUUCAAUAAAUUACUUAUUUGGAUAUUAGUUUGGUACGGGAAGAAUGUGAAGCAACAUGGAUGCCUAUUUACAUUAAUGAUCAUUAUAUUAUAGACAUAGUAUACCCUAGACUUAGUUCAAAUUGUAAAGAUAAACAUAAAUAGAGCUGUAGUUUAAAUUAUAGAUAGGCUUUGUAUAAGUUGUGUUUAUCAGAUUCUUGUAUUUAUCAGAUCCUUUAGAAUAGGGAUUAUCAGUUGUAAUUCUUGUUAUAUAUAAAGAGACUAAACCCAAGAGGUUGACUUACGCCAAUAUACACUUCUUGACUUGGUAUCAGAGCUUUGAUCCAAAGUCGAACCCCUAGUUCUCUAUCCGGCUCUUUGAUUCCCCUUCAAAGAGUAUUUCUCUUCUUUCUCCAACGAUGUCAGCCCCAGUCAAGUCCUCUACCAUUGCUACGGCUAUUUCUUGCAUGCUAACUCGCUCCAACUUCCUCCUAUGGAAAGCGCAAGUGGUCCCUAUUCUAAAGGGAGUCCAACUCUUCGGCCACCUUAAUGGCACUACACCAUCCCCUUCAGCCGUGAUAACUACAGAGACGAGUACCAUCGCAAAGGAAGUUGAGCCCCCGAAAAAAUCCCCAAAUCCUGAACAUAAUGCCUGAGUCAUUCAAGAUCAGGCUGUGAUUGGCGGUCUCCUAUCCUCGAUGACAGAGGAAGUUCUUCCUCAAUUAAUUCGCUGCACCAGCACUGCUCAGGAGCUGUGGACAACGCUUCACACCAUGUUCUCUGCUUAGCACCGUGGAAAUUCAAUUCAGAUUCGUACACAACUUUCAACCACAAAGAAAGGAGACCUAAGUGUUGCUGAAUACUACUAGAAAAUGACUGGAUUCGCUGAUACAAUGGCGAAUAUUGGACAACCGAUGACUGAUGAGGAAGUGAUAGGUUAUAUGCUGGCUGGAUUGGGACCAGGACAUGGCGAUUUGUUUACUGCCAUAACAGUUCUCAGCAAUGAACGGAAGGUUACAUUUCCAGAAUUUUACUCUUAUCUAAUAGCACAUGAGGCUCAAGCCACCUCCAUGAGAAGCACUGUGGAGUUCUCACUGUCCGCUAAUAACGUCACACGUCAAGAAAACAACAGUAACAACAGUGCACCUCGUCGCAACAAUACAAGUGGGUACAACAACUUCAAUCAGAGAGGAAACCACAGAGGAGGUGGUUACCGUGGACGAGGUCAUGGGCGCAGUCGGAACAAUGGAGGACCCCGCUGUCAAGUAUGUGGCAUACCUGGUCACACAGCCCUAACUUGCAGAAACCGUUUCAACCAUACUUACCAGACAGAGGACUAUCGUGGGGCCAACAGUGUGACAUCAGCUCGAUAUAAUUCAGAUCCAAACUGCCGUGUUGACUGUGGAGCAACUGAUCAUCUAACCAAUGAGCUUGAUCGCCUCACUGUCCAAGAUCGUUACCAUGGCAAAGAUCAAGUUCAAGUCGCUAAUGGAGCAGGUUUGUCUAUUUCUCAUGUUGGUCAUUCAGUAAUUCCCGGUUUAACUAGACCUCUCCAUUUAAAAAAUGUCUUAUAUGUCCCACACAUUAAGAAAAAUCUUUUAUCUGCUCAGAGACUUAUGUCUGAUAACCAUGUGUUUAUUGAACUUCAUCCUAAUGUUUUCCGUGUCAAGGACAUAGCCACGAAGAAAGUUCUACUACUAGGUAGGAGCAANUACUACUAGGGGAGCAAAGGUGGUCUCUACCCUAUACCUAUCAGUCGUUCUAAAAGUCUUCCGCAACGUCAUGGUUUAUCAAGUGUCAAAGUUUCUUCAUCUCAACGGCAUCGAAGAUUUGGUCACCCCACUUCAGUAGUUGUCAAGACUAUUUUAAAUUCAAAUAAGUUAGGUUGUUUGCCUAGUAAUGAUUCAUUAGUAUGUGAUGCUUGUCAAUGUGCAAAAAGUCAUCAAUUACCAUAUAAUACUUUUGUUCGUGUCUCUACUUGUCCUCUUGAACUUAUACAUACUGAUGUUUGGGGACCCGCUCAAGUGUCUAGCGGGGGUUUUAAAUAUUAUGAUAGCUUUCUAGAUGAUUACAGUCGAUACACUUGGAUUUACCUUAUUAAAAACAAAUCUGAUGUUGAGCAAGUGUUUUAUACCUUCCAAAAUCACGUUGAACGAUUCUUAAACACCAAAAUCCGUAGUGUUUAGUCAGACUGGGGGGUGGAUACCAAAAACUACACCGAUAUUUUCAAAAAGGGGGAAUCACACAUCGUGUCUCAUGUCCUCAUACGUCCCCACAAAAUGGAAUAGCAGAACAAAAACAUCGCCAUAUAGUGGAAACUGGUCUGGCUCUAUUAGCUCAGUCAUAUCUUCCCCUCCGUUAUUGGGAUGAAGCUUUCUUGACUGCGUGUUACUUGAUUAAUCGUAUGCCUACCAAAAUUCUUAACAAUAUUGCACCACUUACACGCUUGUUAAGAAUCAAACCCGAUUAUUCAUUUCUUAGAGUCUUUGGUUGUGCAUGUUGGCCUAGUUUACGGAAAUAUAAUACUCACAAACUCAGUUUUCGUUCCACAUUGUGUGUUUUUCUGGGGUAUAUCUCCCUUCAUAAGGGCUAUAAAUGUUUAGAUAGGUCCACAGGUCGCAUUUAUAUUUCAAGAGAUGUCGUGUUUGAUGAAAAUCGUUUUCCAUACACUCCUACACAUACUCUAUCUUCUAUUCCUUCUAACUCAUAAUCAGUCCUGUUUCCCCAGUCUGAACCGGCAGUUACUAAUGAUCACAUGAGCAUAUAUGACUUAUCUAUUUUGUUAGCUAACAAUUAUGAUGCAGGUACAGCAAUACCACCCACUGUUAUACCGCAAGUUUCCACUUCUCCACCAAUCACUGUUCCAGUAUCACAUUUGCAUGUACCCACAGAAGAAUCCACACCAGCAACCACAAGCCCUGCUGCUGUGCCAGAUACAACAACCUUGUCAUCAGUCACUGCACCAGCAGCUGAACCUCAGGAGCCUGUGUCACCAGCCACCUCAACGUCCAUGUCACUUCCACUUGAUGAUCUAUCGCCACCUGUAUAGUCCACUCCAGAAGCUUCUCCACCAGGUAUGACCACGCGUGCUCGUUUGGGAAAAACUUUCCCUAAACAGUUCACGGAUGGCACUAUUUGCUAUGAUCUUUCUAAAAGAGAUUUCUCUGCUAUUACCCCUACUUCUUAUCGAGCUGCUAUGACUGAUCCUGCUUGGAGAGCUGCCAUGGAAGCAGAAUUUAAAGCACUCAAGACAAAUCAGACAUGGACUCUUGUUCCUAGACCCACUGGUAUUAAUAUUGUUGGGUGUAAAUGGAUUUUUAAAUUAAAACAAAAUCCGGAUGGUACUACUGAUAAGCAUAAAGCGCGGUUAGUUGCUCGUGGCUUCACCCAACAAUAUGGUAUUGAUUAUCAAGUACCUUCAGUCCUGUAGUAAAGCCUGCCACUAUUCGUUUAGUCCUUUCUCUUGCAGUCUCUCGUGGCUGGCAUCUUUGCCAAAUUGAUGUUAACAACGCGUUUCUUCAUGGUUUUCUGGACGAAGAAGUAUACAUGCACCAACCACCUGGCUUUGAAGACUCCACUCAUCCUCAGUACGUGUGCAAAUUACGCAAGGCACUUUAUGGCCUCAAACAAUCACCUAGGGCAUGGUUUUCUAGGUUAAGAGACCAACUUCAUCAACUUGGUUUUCGAUCCUCUAAAGCUGAUACCUCAUUGUUUAUUCUUCAUUGCAAUCAGGUCACUGUAUUUAUGUUGGUGUAUGUCGACGAUAUAGUUAUUGUGGGAUCGUCCCAACGGGUGGUGGACAAACUCAUUCAGGCGUUGAGCUCCUAUUUCCCUAUCAAAGAUCUAGGAAGGCUUAGCUAUUUCUUAGGUGUUGAGGUGCUUCACAAUUCAGGGGGAAUUACCUUACUUCAGUACAAAUAUGCGACUGAUUUGUUGCAUCGUACUAAUACGGUGAAUUGUAAAGUUGUCACCACCCUAAUGAUGGUCAAUAAUAACCUAUCUAGCGAUGAUGGAAAACCUCUGAAUGAGGAGGAUACAUUCAAGUAUAGAAGCAUGGUUGGAGGUUUGCAAUAUCUCACGCUACCCAGGCCAGAUAUUUCUUUUUUCGGUCAACAAGGUUUGUCAGUUUUUGGCUAGACCUACUGAUAUUCAUCUUGAGGCUGUAAAGAGAAUAUUGAGGUAUAUUAAAGGAACAAUUACUACAGGGCUGCGUAUUCGAAAAUCGUCCUCCACAUUAUUGAGUGUGUUUACAAAUGCAGAUUGGGCAGGAUGUCUGGACUCUAGACGAUCUACAGGAGGAUUUGCAGUAUUUAUAGGUCCCAACUUGGUUUCAUGGAGCUCACGUAAACAACCAACAGUCUCAAGGUCAAGUACUGAAGCAUAAUACAAAGCCUUAGCAAAUGGUACAGCAGAAGGAACUUGGAUUCAGGCAAUACUAAAGGAGUUAGGUGUCAAACAAACUCGAGCUCCAAUACUUUGGUGUGAUAAUCUGGGAGCCACUUAUUUAACAACUAAUCCAAUCUUUCAUGCACGUACAAAACAUAUAGAAGUCGACUUUCAUUUUGUUAGAGAAAAGGUAGCAAUGGGAGCAUUAGAUGUUCGGAUUAUAUCAUCAAAUGAUCAAGUUGCAGAUGGUUUCACAAAGCCUAUGACUAGAAGUAUGUUGGAGAAGUUAUGAUACAAUCUGAACCUGAUUCCGGUUAAGAUUGAGGGGGAAUGUAAAGAUAAACGUAAAUAGAGCUGUAGUUUAAAUUAUAGAUAGGCUUUGUAUAAGUUGUGUUUAUCAGAUUUUUGUAUUUAUCAGAUCCUUUAGAAUAGGGAUUAUCAGUUGUAAUUCUUGUUAUAUAUAAAGAGACUAAACCCAAGAGGUUGACUAACGCCAAUAUACACUUCUUGACUCAAAUGUCAUAUUUUACUACGAUUAAUUAUUACGUGUGUAAUGUUAGAAAUAUAUUUUGACAUAAAUACUAUUAAUGAAAGGGUUCUUGGGGUUCUUAAUUAGGGUCUUAACCUUUAGUUGGUCUUAUUUAAACUUUUACCUAUAAAAUAGAUAAUCUACUCUAAUAAAUGAAAGUUUUUUUUGCCACAUGUCCUCUUCUUCUUCAUUUGAACACAUGAUAUUUUCUAAAAUUUUUAAAUUUUUUAUUUUCUAUUUGUAUUUUAUUGUAUUUUUCAUUUUAUUAAAUUAAAAUUCCAUAUUUAAUAUGUAAGGUAAUAUAUAUGUAAGAUAUUUAUUACAAAAAAUAUUUAUAUAUGUAAUGUAUCCAAUACAUUAAAGUCUCAUUAAUUUUAAUAAUUCAAAAAAAUUCUUUUUUUUAUAAAUUCAAACUUUUCAAAUUGUUAAAAUUUUAUAUUUAAUUUUUUUUAAAUAAACCAUUUAUUUAUAUAAUAAAUGAGUCUCACACCUAAUUUUUAUUAUACAUAGCAUAAAACUUUGUUCACAAAUACGCGUUUAAUCAAAAAAAUAAAAAAGGUAAUAUGUCAUAUAACAUUAUCGCUAUUCUCUAACGCGUUACCUACAAUUUUUAUACACAAUCAAAUUCAGAUCCACCGACUCCAAACCCUCUUCAAUACCUUAAACCAAGAAAUCCAUACGUCUACAACCAAAAUCAUCUCUCCAGAUCUUCGGCAUCAAAUUCUCCCUCUAAAUCUCCGGCUACAAUGGCUUCAUCACCGGCGAUUCUUCCCAUCUCAAACCAACAGACCAUUUCCACCGGUGAAUCC